This 253-nucleotide ribosomal RNA is filed under the name uncultured bacterium. RNAcentral's name for it is "partial 16S ribosomal RNA". It matches the Rfam family "Bacterial small subunit ribosomal RNA", at positions 524 to 776 of the family's 1533-position model. The record is from RNAcentral.
UACGAAGGGGGCGAUCGUUAUCCGGAUUCACUGGGUUUAAAGGGUGCGUAGGUGGCUUUAUAAGUCAGUGGUGAAAUGCCGCAGCUCAACUGCGGAACUGCCAUUGAUACUGUUUAGCUUGAAUCACGUCGAGGUGGAUGGAAUAUUACAUGUAGCGGUGAAAUGCUUAGAUAUGGAAUAGAACACCGAUUGCGAAGGCAGUUCACUAGGCGUGCAUUGACACUGAGGCACGAAAGCGUGGGGAUCAAACAGG